Non-coding RNA from Xyrichtys novacula (pearly razorfish), 4242 nucleotides. Lineage: Eukaryota; Metazoa; Chordata; Actinopteri; Labriformes; Labridae. The record is from the annotation of a GenBank genome assembly.
UUUGUGCUCUGGUUUGUAAUAAAAAUAACUUUGAGGUUUUUUAUUCUGCUCUAAAUUCUGUCAUAAGUUUUUACCGCUCCUUUGGCGCCUUUUAGUUUUCACUUUAGACUUUGAUAAAUGUUUGAUUUAAACCUGAAGUGGGAAAAGCUUUUUAUAGUUGAUUCAAAACAAACGGAUAUCCCAAAAUCAUGAGGAGUAAAACUGAAGCAGUUGGGUUUAGGUAACGUCAGGAGGGAGUUUAGUCUCGGUCUUAAACUGUAGUCCCUCUAAUCCUGAGUCCUCUGGAUCCAUCUGUUUCAAGAGAUAAAAUUAGCAGUCAAGAAGAGGUACAACCAUGGGCGUGUCCAGACCUUUUAGACUGGGGUGGCCAAACCCAGGCAUGGACACUGUUGGGGUGGCCAAGACAAUAAAUUUAUAGUUUAAAUGCUAUAGAUGAUUGUUGCAGCAAAUACAACCCAGACUCAUUUUUCUGGUUUAUAAGGACAUACAGGAUAUUUUCACUGAAGUCUGACUUUGCUUGGCUUCUUCUUUUAGUUGUUUCUUGGUCGCAGCACCCCUCGCAGGUCAGACAUUUCAGAUCUACUUCCUGCUCUCAGGAACAAUCACCAGGACCGUGCAGACGUUCAUGUAAAACUCUGUGUGAACUCCAGGAGACACUCAUUAGAUCACUGAGACUCUCAGUCUGUUUUAAAUGAUCAUCAGUCCUGAAAUCGUUUGUCCUCCAUCUGCUUCUUUCUCCUGCUUUUAACUUUGUACCAACUUUGCUUUUAAGCAGCAGCCACUCCUGACUUUUAUAUCCUUGGCCUGAUGUUUUAAAGUUGCUGAGGAUUUUUUAUGCCUACUUUACAGUCUCUUCCUCUGCCUGUAUGAGUGUGUGUGUGAGUCACUGUCUGUCCAGGUGAUCUUUGGAAAGUCCGUCAGGUUUUUUAUGAUAUUUGAAUAGAUCUUCAUUGUGACUGUGACAGAAAGUUCCUGUGGACAUUUAUUACAGAUAAUGAGACGGACUGAAGGACAGACAGUCGGCAGAGAAAGGUCACUUUCUGAUGGCUGCUCAGAGCUCAGGGACUCCGAGCUCCUUAUUGCUCAUUUUAUUGAGUGAUGUGACAUUCGGGUCAAGACGAAAUCUGAACCAAAUACCAGACGGCGUUAAAUCUCCCACUCAGGAGACAGAGUGAACUCUGAAGGGGUUUGAUCGACUGUUUAGGCGGAUCUUUGUCCUCGGGGAUGACUUCUGUUUCAGAGCUUAAACUAAUGAAUUUCUGUAGAUCAUACCUUAUUAAAAAAAAAACAGGAUUUGCACCAGAAGAAGGACAACAAACAGGUGUUAUUCAUAGUCCGCUAAUUCAGCCAAUGUUUGAGUGAGAUGGCGGAUUGGACAGUGAUAACUUUUGAGUGAUGUUACAGUAAAAUCCAUGCUGUACCUGAAGGAUAGCUUCUCAGUUGCUAAAAACUCCAUUUCAAAAUUGAAGACACCUGCACCUGCUACCUGAGGAGACUUUUUUGCACUUGUAUUUGGCUGUGUGCUUUAAAAAAAAAAGGCAUUUGCACUUUUUACAACUUUUAAAGUCUGACCUUGUUCAUGGGUUCACCGGAGCUGCAAGUUUGACCAUGGUUCGAGGCCAUUGAGACCUUGUUUUGCAAUGUUUUCAUCAAAGCAGCUGAGCUGAACACUGUGUGCCUCCAGGUUUGCAGGAAGACUGUCAGCGGUAAAGAUUAUGGGCUGUAAAAUAGCUCAUGCAUCUGCUGUAGAGUUGAUAAUCUCCUAACUUGCCCAGAGGCAGGGAUAGGACACAUCCUUUCUGUUUAAUAUGCAUGUAUGGAAAAGUUAGGCAGGGAGAGCAGCAGCAAAAACCAAAAACAGAUCAGGGAUCAGUGACGCUAACAAAGUCAGACACAGCAGUGAAAAGAGGAGCUGAGGUGGAGGCGGGUUGUAGCUACAGCAUUUUUCAACUGAAUGAUGUUUGUGUUGACUUUAUGGCCUGCCUGGACUAACACGAUGCUCAAUAUUGGGGGAUGUGGUCGACGCCAGAGAAUCAUGUUUUUUUUAAGGGCCUCCAGCUUAUUUUGGUGAGUUGUUACCAGAGGUGACCCACAUUCAUGCAGGCUUCUUUAAAACGUGACCAAGUUUAUGAAAUCACUCAUGAGGAAGUGAAAGAUAAAGACCAUAACUUUCUGUUCUCAAAGAUACGAGCAAAAUUUGAUCCUGUACGGCUGCUUCCUGUUUUAUAUUUACUGACUGUUCUGUGUGACAGUUUUACAGCACCGAGUACUUAAAAGAGGACCUUGAUAGAAGUAGUUCAGGUCUGGAUUUGGUGGAUUUAACUCAUGCUCCAUUUAAACUUCACCCGGUUACUUGACCGACUGGACGGCUGGACAGCUGGGAUGAUCUUGUUGCAGAGAGUGAGUAAAAACGCCUGUCACAGAGGAGGAAAGAUUGAGAUGGAUGGUAUUUCAGGCAGUUAAACUUUGUGAAUAUGUUUGUCUUUCUUCUUUAUGCAGUUUUGUUUCAGUCAGAGGCCUUGAACCUUUGGUCGUAGUGACUUUUAGCAGGACAAACGUCCAUGAAAUAUCAUCCAGUGUCAGCUGAUAUUUGUAAUCUAUAACAGGACUCAGGGUCAGAUAUCUUUCUGAAAACUCUCUCCGUCUUUAUGGUUUGGUAUUUCUUUGUGAUGGGAGAUUUUGUGAGGGAUUUUAGUCUGUGUACAGUCUGUGUAAAGACUGAUUAUUUUUUAUGAUACAGUCAUUAAUGCGAAGAUAUUUUAUUGUCUAUUAAAAGUCUGCGACUUGGCCAAAUAAUUCAGCACCACAAAGUAUCGAGACUUAGUGAUCCCAGAAAACAAAAGUUUCUCUCGUCGUCACCACUUUUUCUUUCUUUCCUUUUCCUUUAUUCCCUACGUUGAAAGCUGUUGUCUCGUGUUUCCAUCUUUUUGCUUCCCUCUCCACCUUUGCAACUGCCAUGAAUGAUUCAAGCUAUCACCCUAAGUCCUUGAUCGAUACCUUAAUGAACCUUUAACAAUAGUUUGGGCGGUGCAUGCAAAUGCAAAUUGCCAAUAAACCUCGUCGGACUUCUUUAGUGGAGAGUAAAUGGGCUAUUGAAGCUGCAGAGUGUCCCUGCAUGUGCGCUCAGAGACUGCAGGAUGUUCAUUAUCACCAGUUUGGCAAAUUAGGCGUAUCGCUCAAACAGCUUUAGCCAAGUCGUCCUGAAACAGGUACAAGCGUGAAUAUGAGGCUGAAUCUGACCCAGGAAAUACAGGAGAGGCAUCCAUCCUGUUAUUGAGACUCAGAAGUCUCAAGCCUCUCGUCAAACUCAGAUUAGCAUUUAAAUUAAACUGGAAAAUUCAUCAAGAGUGAAGGAAGUGUUCGUCCUCGUCCUCGUCUGGGUGCAGGAAAAACACCGUCUCCUCUGCCAGCCACCCACCUUGGCUCUCAGCAGCUCCAUUCUUCCUCAGAGUAUUUCCCCGCCUGCAGAGCUGCACAGUUGGCAGCAGGUUUGCUCCUCAGCAACAACAGAGUGACAGGCAGAUUUGAUUACCGCUGUCAGAGAGAUCCAAACAGCAUGCCUGCACUUGGACGGAAAACUCCAGAGCGAGUCAGUCCAGAUGUCUGAAGGGUGGUUUCUGUCGCCGCUUUAAAACAGAGUUAAGAGGAAAGUUGUGAGUGAUGUCUGUUUGGUCUGAGGGGGAGGUCUCUGAACACAGAGGCAAGAAAUGUCCAAUAGCAUGAGUACACUGACCUUUUUACUCUAUUUGACUCAAAAUUGAGCAAAAAUGAGCCCUGAGUCUGGCAAAAGAAGUUCUGAGUUUGCUCCGUAUCAUAUUUACCUCCAUAUCACACAAAGGUCAAAGGAAAACUGUUCUAUUUUUUUUCCAUGCAGCCUUUUAUACUCAGUAUCUAAUCAUAAGAACAUUCCUCUGGAGUUAAAGCUUAAAAAAGGCCCUCUUUUGUGUUUGUAUGUGGGGUCAGACAUGUUGUGUGUAGAUGGUAUUUUCCAGACAGUCCUCCAAGUUGAACAUCAAACCAACGUCCCUCCAGCUGUUUUCUUUGCAUGAACUGUCCAAUCAGAGCUCUGGCCUUUCUAUUAGCCUCGCAUAGUUACCCAACAAAUUCAGCUGUGUGCAGUAAAAUAUUGCUAUGUUUGUUUUCUGCAAUUUGUGUCGUGAUAGUAAGAAAUACAGGCAUUUAUACCAGAUAAAUAAUAAUAAUAAUAAUAAUAAUGCAUUUUAUUUAUAGGUGCCUUUCAAA